RNAcentral lists this long non-coding RNA (2232 nucleotides) under Aquilegia coerulea. RNAcentral describes it as "long non-coding RNA (ACOE_LNC000996)". Lineage: Eukaryota; Viridiplantae; Streptophyta; Magnoliopsida; Ranunculales; Ranunculaceae. The record is from RNAcentral.
AAAUUCCCAUCCACUAAUCCAUUGCUACUCUUUGUCUUUGGUAUAUCAUAUAUGAUAGUGGAAUUCCGCAUCAUAGUUAUUUGUACUACUUAAAGUUUGGUUGUUUAGCAAAGCAUUUGGGUUGUUGAACAAACCCAUGGACCACUAUCCGAUGACACUCUUUGUAUUGGCCGGACAAUACUGAAGUUGUAAACAUAAUGGUCCCUUUGUAUAACUAAAACUUUUGGUUGAUUAGCUGCCGAUUUGGUUGCGUAACAGACCUAUUGACCAUGGACAUAUAUGUGGUUAUGAUGCAUUUAGUUAUUUUUAGCUUGACAAAAUCUAAUUCAGUGGACUUAAUUUUGUUUUCAGUCUUAUUAAAUCAAUUGCUUAGCACCAUCGACCAAUAUUCGGUUCAGAUUGACUUAGGGCCUUUGAUUGGAAGCUUCAUGGUCAAAGGAUUUGAGACUUUGAGGUCAUAGAAUUUAGGUUUGUAUAGGUUAUUGUUGCUUGAUAUGCAACAAUCUAGAUAUGGUAUUACUGCACUGGACAAAUUUAAAUUAGAGUUGCAAGGAAUUAUAUUUUUAUUUCCUUUGUAUGAACAGUUACAGAUCAUUGGCAUUAGGUGAUCUUCUCCAAUUUUUUCUUAACAAUGACGUUGCAUUGUGAAGCCAAGGCAGGUACACAGAUUUAAUAUUAAUUACUCAAGUUAGAGUUGAUUGUUGCAUAUUUUUUCAACUGUCAAUCUUCUCUCAAUAGGUGCUUGGCUUUUUUUGGAAUUAGAAGGUUUGAACCUAUGGAUGAGCUGAUCUCUCUUGAUUUCCCUUCUUAUGCAUGUAGGUAUUAAAAGUUUAGGAUAUGUUCACAUAUUUACAAUGGAAAAAAUUCCUAUCAAUGAGUAGAGACAACUACGGAUAGUGUCAGAUGUUGAGGUAUGUCAAGUCAUUUUAAGCAAAAGUGUGCCAUGAAACCUUCAAGAAAGAUCGAUAAGAACCAGGAAAAAGUGGCAGUCACUGAAUGUUUCGUAUAAAUUAAAUGAUGUCUCGGGCCAAUAUUUUCAUCCCAUCACUGAAUAUCCAUCCCAAACCUAGCUGCGAUAUCUGCAAUGAAAUUAGACUCCUUUAGAUUUCAAACUCAGUUUAGAAUAGAACUCAAAUAUUUUUAUUACUAUUACGUUCUCCAAACAAUAUUUAUAUGUUGAAACUGCUAAUGUUUAUUAAUUUCGCUUAUUCAUCUCUCCAAUCUUCUUCAAUUUUAUUUGAGUUACGAUUUCAAUACAGGAAACCAUGUUUAUAGGAAAGCCAUUUUUGUUCAUUUAUUAUGAAUAUUAAUCUUGGGCAUCACCAAUUACAUGAGAAAUCUGAAUUUUGGGUACACGAGUUUUGGAUCAACUUAAAAAUUGAUAAUGAGAAAGAUCGAUGUGAAAGUAGCAGUUUAAGAACUUGAGAGCUGGUAUAUUUUGCAAUGCCUGUACAUUGGUUAGAGUUGUUAAUUAUUGGUAAUUUUAACCAUGUUUUGCAUAUGUAUAGUGAUAUGAUAUGGAUUUAGCUCUAUAAUGAGAAAAUUAAAAAUCAGAUUCUUUAUUUUCUUCCAUAUAUCUUACAUUCUGAUUCUUGGCAGGUUAAAGUUGCUCAUCUGGUGUUCCAGGAAAGAAGAGGAGGCCAAAACUAAUGUUGGACAUGAAGAUUUUGCCUCCUUGGAUGAUCACGCAAUCCAUGAAUCUUACAAAUGAGUAAUGUGGAGGAAUAAUGAUACCUCACGAAAUAAUAUUAUUUUCAGAGAAGACCAAGUUGAUGUACAAAAGGAAGUGUGUUGGAUCAAGGAGACUGCACGGCUAUUGUUGAAUAUUGACAAGAAAGAUAUGACAGAAUUUAAUGACAGGAAGGGUGUAGUGCCCUAGCAGGAAUCAGUAGCAAAGGAUGGGUGCAGUUGAAUUAUCAGACAUAGUAACUAAAGCAGUGAUUACAUGACAGUGAUAGAAACCAUGUCACAAGCAUGUAGAAUCAGUUAAGGCUGCAUGCAACAACAACGCAAUUCAGCAGUAACAAAGAUGAUGCAACUGGAAUAGACCAAGACUAGGGACAACUCUGUUUCAGAUCUAUUUUUUUUUUUACCCCUUUGUAUAGACUUUGUUAUUUAUUUGUUCAAUUAUAUGUAUGUGGGCUUGAUGUAGGCGGGCAUAUGGGGUUAGUUAAACAAUGAUCUACAAAUAGAGCCAUGUCUUUAUAGGGAAAUUUCAACCUGACAGUACUU